AAAAAUUUAGUUAAAUAAAUAACGUUAGUUUGUCAAACUAAAAUUAUUUUAAAUAAAUAAUUUUUU
Molecule: transfer RNA, 66 nt
Filed under: Nephaspis sp. DPP-2018
Lineage: Eukaryota; Metazoa; Arthropoda; Insecta; Coleoptera; Coccinellidae
Description: tRNA-Asp
Source: RNAcentral